RNAcentral lists this ribosomal RNA (492 nucleotides) under uncultured bacterium. RNAcentral describes it as "partial 16S ribosomal RNA". It matches the Rfam family "Bacterial small subunit ribosomal RNA", at positions 29 to 507 of the family's 1533-position model. The record is from RNAcentral.
AGUGAACGCUGGCGGUAGGCCUAACACAUGCAAGUCGAACGGCAGCACAGUAAGAGCUUGCUCUUACGGGUGGCGAGUGGCGGACGGGUGAGGAAUACAUCGGAAUCUACUUUUUCGUGGGGGAUAACGUAGGGAAACUUACGCUAAUACCGCAUACGACCUACGGGUGAAAGCAGGGGAUCUUCGGACCUUGCGCGAUUGAAUGAGCCGAUGUCGGAUUAGCUAGUUGGCGGGGUAAAGGCCCACCAAGGCGACGAUCCGUAGCUGGUCUGAGAGGAUGAUCAGCCACACUGGAACUGAGACGCGGUCCAGACUCCUACGGGAGGCAGCAGUGGGGAAUAUUGGACAAUGGGCGCAAGCCUGAUCCAGCCAUACCGCGUGGGUGAAGAAGGCCUUCGGGUUGUAAAGCCCUUCUGUUGGGAAAGAAAAGCAGCAGGUUAAUACCCCGCUGUUCUGACGGUACCCAAAGAAUAAGCACCGGCUAACUUCGUG